AUGGCUCCUACCGAGGCUGAGGAUGAUGUAGAGGAGGGAGAAGAGCAGAAGAAGAAGGAAAGGAAAGCAGCCUGAGCUGCUUUCACGUGGAUUCAAGCAAACUUUGCGCAUUGCCCUGCGGAUGCCACUGAUGAUGUGAUAUAGACACAUGCUCGUGUCUAUAUGUGGUACGUUGUCUUGAGGACUUUGUUUCCUGACUCGACAGGCAAGAAUGCUCCCUGGAUGUGGCUGAAGGCGUUGACCGUCUUCGAUAGCGGAUGGAGCUGUGGUUCAGCGACUCUUGCUUACUUGUACCGACAGGUACUUGGCUUGUUUUGCUAUCAAGUCAUUUCUUCAUUAACAAUGCAACCUUGCUAUCAAGUUAACAUUGUUUUCUUUCAUAUGCAGCUGGACUAUGCGUGUUGCAGGAUCACAGAUAAGGCAGGCAUUGGUGGUAAUAUGCUUCUGCUUUCUGUAUGGAGCUGGGAGCAUCUGCUGAUACAUCUCCAACGUACCUAUAAUUUAUGA
RNAcentral lists this ribosomal RNA (507 nucleotides) under Triticum aestivum (bread wheat). RNAcentral's name for it is "partial small subunit ribosomal RNA". Lineage: Eukaryota; Viridiplantae; Streptophyta; Magnoliopsida; Poales; Poaceae. The record is from RNAcentral.